CGUAUGGUGCAAGCGUUAUCCGGAUUUACUGGGUGUAAAGGGAGCGUAGACGGAUGGGCAAGUCUGAUGUGAAAACCCGGGGCUCAACCCCGGGACUGCAUUGGAAACUGUUCAUCUAGAGUGCUGGAGAGGUAAGUGGAAUUCCUAGUGUAGCGGUGAAAUGCGUAGAUAUUAGGAGGAACACCAGUGGCGAAGGCGGCUUACUGGACAGUAACUGACGUUGAGGCUCGAAAGCGUGGGGAGCAAACAGGAUU
This 254-nucleotide ribosomal RNA is filed under the name uncultured bacterium. RNAcentral's name for it is "partial 16S ribosomal RNA". It matches the Rfam family "Bacterial small subunit ribosomal RNA", at positions 526 to 779 of the family's 1533-position model. The record is from RNAcentral.